This 598-nucleotide long non-coding RNA is filed under the name Ricinus communis (castor bean). Its description in RNAcentral is "long non-coding RNA (RCOM_LNC000965)". Lineage: Eukaryota; Viridiplantae; Streptophyta; Magnoliopsida; Malpighiales; Euphorbiaceae. The record is from RNAcentral.
GUUAAGAUAUAUUUGUUGGUUUUGACGACUGAGCAGCUCUUAAAUUGCUACUGCCAUUUGUAGUUGGCAGUUGGCAGCACUUUCCAUUUCUGCGGCAGGUUGGUUUUGGCGUCAACUUCACCCUCUCUUCAUUUUAUUUCUUUCUAAAUGGCGCACGCAUAUACUAGAUAAAUAAAUUCUGUCGAAAUCCUUGAUAGAAAUGGGUGAAAUGCAAUUGGUAGACUCAAAAACCUGUGCGGGCACUGGUUCAACAAUGAAUCGGUGGUUAAUUCCUUCUGGGUGGGUUACACUGGUUCAUUCGGAUUAGAUCCAUCUAUCUAAAGAAAAAUUAAAAAAAAAUCAAUCCGACCAGUUGAACCAGUAACUCAAAUCUUUUCACUUGCUGGUUCCAGUUUCUGAAAAUGCUAAGUGGACUCUAAAAUUCGUUUAACCGUUACAAAAACAACUAGAUUAGAUAAUUCAGUUUUUUUUAGUUAGUUGCAAUUUCUUUAUCAUUUAUAACCCAUUAACAUAAAUUUACAUGUUUAUUAUCAGCUUUACGCUUGCUCGCCUCAAUAUUUUAAGUCAUUUUCACUUCUUCUUUUUCUCUAUUUGCUUU